RNAcentral lists this ribosomal RNA (431 nucleotides) under uncultured bacterium. Its description in RNAcentral is "bacterial SSU rRNA". It matches the Rfam family "Bacterial small subunit ribosomal RNA", at positions 338 to 786 of the family's 1533-position model. The record is from RNAcentral.
CCUACGGGGGGCUGCAGUGGGGAAUAUUGGACAAUGGGCGCAAGCCUGAUCCAGCCAUGCCGCGUGAGUGAUGAAGGCCCUAGGGUUGUAAAGCUCUUUCAACGGUGAAGAUAAUGACGGUAACCGUAGAAGAAGCCCCGGCUAACUUCGUGCCAGCAGCCGCGGUAAUACGAAGGGGGCUAGCGUUGUUCGGAAUUACUGGGCGUAAAGCGCACGUAGGCGGAUAUUUAAGUCAGGGGUGAAAUCCCGGGGCUCAACCUCGGAACUGCCUUUGAUACUGGGUAUCUUGAGUAUGGAAGAGGUAAGUGGAAUUGCGAGUGUAGAGGUGAAAUUCGUAGAUAUUCGCAGGAACACCAGUGGCGAAGGCGGCUUACUGGUCCAUUACUGACGCUGAGGUGCGAAAGCGUGGGGAGCAAACAGGAUUAGAUACC